Triticum aestivum (bread wheat) is the source of this 5978-nucleotide long non-coding RNA. RefSeq lists it as uncharacterized. The transcript is spliced from 7 exons. NCBI's taxonomy places the organism in Eukaryota, Viridiplantae, Streptophyta, Magnoliopsida, Poales, Poaceae. The record is from RefSeq and is a predicted model, not a curated record.
GUGGCCUCGUCCCCAAUCGGCGGGACGACUAGGUUUCUGUCGCCGCGUCUCCCUUCUCUCUCUCGCUCGCAUCUCUCCAUCGCUCCUCCUUCUCUUCGCGCAGCCGCCGCUCCUCUCCGCCUCCCUCCUCCUCCACAGGAUUGCGGCCUUCCCUCCCUUGUGCUAUCCUCUCACGGCCAUGAACGGCGGCGAGCUCGCCGUUGCCUUCAUCGGGAGGAGAGCGGACCGACGGACCUGGAGCAUCCCCAUCGACGGGAGGAGCGGGAGGAGCGCGGGAACCGCCGGCGCCCCUUCGGCAACCAGGUCUUCUCCCUCGCCAGCCGCCGUGCCCCCGUCAAGCUGUCACAUCGUCGGGAGGAGAUGAAUCACUGCUCUCCCUGGAGGAGAGGGUCGACGGGAGCUAGCGAGACGGAUCUGCAGCGCUCGCCUCACCUCAGGGUGGUGCCGGGUGCGUGGCUGUUGUUCCUUCGGAAUUGGCCGGCCUACCUCGUGGGUGUCAAUCCAGGUCGAUGUGCUUGGCCAGAAGAAGGCAUGGACGCCAUCGACCUCGCCCGCCUCUGCACAUUGCAGGUAUAGCAGAUCGUCCUCCCUUCUAAUUUGUUUUCGUAGAAUUGGAUGAACACCCAUGGUUCAGUUUGGGCUCAUGCAAUGUCUGUUCUUCUCGAAUGCUUACUUUGGAUGCGUCGUGUGAGUCAAUGUUGAUAUUUUGUUCCUAUUGAUUUACAGGUUAUACUAAUGAAACUUUAGUUAUUAAGGGUGUAUAAUAUCUUGGAAGCUUAGUGUUGUCAUUGAAUGUUCUUCUGCAUUUAAGCUAAAAAAUGUUCAUCUGCAUUGAUUUAUUUUUAGUUGAGUAUGAAGGAGCAAAGAGAGCUACAUAAUUCUUAUUCUUCAGUAUCCACGUGAAUUAGUUUUCACAUUGGUUUGUGUGCUGAAAGCUAUUGAAACAUAUCCCUUGUAUUGUCAAAUGUUGUGUUGUGUGAAUCAUUUCUUUGUUCUGGAUGUCCUCGGCAAGAAUGGAGCAUGGACCUUAACGUCCCUAGGUAUAGCAGAUCCUCAUCCCUUCCUUUUCUAAUUUAUUUUCAUAUAAUAGGAUCAACACCCACAGUUCAGUCUGGGUUCAUAAAGUGUGUGCAUUUAUCUCCAUUGCAUUUCUCACAAUCUGAAAAUUCUUGCUUACAGUUUGUUAAGGUGAAGAAUUCUGCUUAGGCUACUAUUUCUUUUUUGAGUAUGAGUUCAUUUUCCUUUUCCAUGGGAUGGCUAUGAUUGAAAAACUCUCUUAAGCUUCUAUUCUCGCUCUAUACAGUUCCUUUUAACUCUGAACCGAAUGAAAAAUCUGAUGGGACUGCACAUAUAUCUUGCACUGAAUCUGGCCAUAUGUUUAAGUAAAAUAGUUCAGGUUAUAAGCCCGGCAAGAAAUUAAAUAUAAGAUGUGCUUUUGAAUUGCUGACGACCAAAGUCCGCAAAUAGACUAUGGUCUUCUGAUCUUUCAGCUUAUUGCAGUAAUAUUAUUCCUUCUUCUUUUCUCCAGGCAGAAAAGACAUACUGAUUUGAAGACCACCUCAAUUGUUUGGGAUCUGGAUUGUCUGUACAUAUUUUGUUGGUGGUUGGCAGAUCUGGUCCAUCAUAAUCUUUGUCCUGCUACCAUGCAGUUCUAUGUACCAUGCAAUUUUUCCCCUCCAUCCUGGUCUCAAGAUACUGCCGAGGGAGCGGCUGAUGGAGGCGCUCUGCAAAUGGUGUACGAGUCAAGGAGAUCCACCGCAAGCGGCUCAUGAUGGGCGCACUGGGGAUUAGAUCUCCGUUGGAAAGAUGCAUCCAGGCCUGGCCACCUCUCCAGCACGACAUGCCAGCCAGUUCUCUCUUACCCCUCCUUCCACACCAUAUCGUCGUCUCACCCACCAGAGUAAUGGAAUGUUAAUUGGCUGGUGGUGGCAUGUUCAAGUAUGGGAAAUGAUGAGCUCCUACUUCUUUUUAUGCCAGCCCUAUGCCGUAGCCUGAGUCUUCUGUUCAAUAAUUGUUGUUUCUCCCUGAAACAAAACUGGCACUUUGUACGAUUGAUUACUCAGAGAGCCACAAUCACACAAGGAAAUCUAAACAGCCAGCUGGGUAUUGACAAGAAGUACCAAUUUAAGAGGACCGUGAGAGAGCUUGGAGGGAAGAACACACUUGAUGACCAAAUAAACACUUGAUGACCAUAUUUGGUGCCUUUUGCUGCAAAUAGUGGAAGUCUUUUAGCGAGCAUAUAUUCAUGUCAAACUGAUAUGCCACUGACUCUUUGAUUGCCUGAUCCUGUUCUUCCUUUGCUGUAAGGCUCGGCAUAAAGAACACAUUCGAGGACCAUUCACGACACCUUCUGGAGCAAAUAGUGGUAGUCUAUUGGUAAAUAUAUAUUCAUGUGAAACUGAAAUUGAGAACCUUAGAUGAACAUUAUUUCCUGUUAGUGGAUUGAUAGUUGUACUGAAUCUUGCCCUAUGUACAUGCCCAUCCUGAAACAUAUAUAUAUUAGGUAUUAUUGGAUGAGCAUAAGUGUACAUAUUCUAUACAAGUAUUACCAGACUGGAUACAAUUGGAUCAGGUGGGUUGCGGUAAGCUGCACUUACUAUCCUUUCUACUAAUGCAUCAUAGCAUCUGAUCUUUACCCGCUCGGCCUUGUCAUUGGGACCGGCACCCUUGCACCAAGGCGCGCUCGGCCUUGUCAUUGGGACCGGCACCUUGCACCAAGGCGCGACCCCGAUCUAGUUUCCUAGAUUGUAGGAUCCAUAACGGCACGCCCUGGCUUGCGUGCCGACUCUGAUGGGCUUCCCCUUGUAUAUGAUGUACUCUCUGUAACAGAAUCAAUCAUCGAGAGUUAUUCACUCCAACUCCUCCCCUUUCCCCUUCUCUUCCUCUCUCCACCUUACUCGAGCGGGGCCGAGGACACGAGCAAGUCGUCGGUGCACCCUCCGACGAGCACCGGUGAAGAGAGCGUGCCUAGGAGCUUCGCCAAGUUCAUCUUCGCCCCCCACGUCCUCUACAUCGCCGUGGGACGCCAAGAUGCCGACGCCGUCUUCCUCUUCUUCUCCCUCGGGUGAGAGCGUCUCCGCCUAAAUUCGCCGUCGACGAUCUUCCCCUAGCCCGUUCGACGACCCCGAGCACCUCUACAUGAGCAUCCGAAGCUUCCCAAUCCCUCUUGCAUGUCGAUUCCAUCCUCUGUACGUCGGUCUAGCCGUGGCAGGACGGUGACUGUCGUGCCUCACCCUGGUCGAUGUCGAAUUGGGCCGAUGCUCUGUUCCGCUGCACCCGCACCUUGCAGCACCCACACAAGCACACGCCUGGCCGAGCGAUUGCUCAAGGUCGUGGCCGAACGCCUCGACCAGCAAGGCCAGCCCUUGUUUGGUUCGUCUUUGUUUCAGUUUUUCGCUGAUCUUUUGAUCACCGAGCCGCUCUCAUAGCACAACCACCCAUCCAGCCUGCUACUCAUCGCACGCAUGCUCCAGACACACGCGCGGCUGCACCUCCGCAGCACACGCAAGCCCCACGCCUCCUCCGUGCAAUGUCUUUGUUCCAGCCAACAACCAUGGCCGUGAUCUCUGAACUCUUGCACACGGCCGCCCCUUGCUGCACCCACAAAGGCACUGCACGUACACCCUCGCUUCCACACCCGCAUGCAAGCACCGCCGCGCGGCCCAAGGCACCGAGGCGAGCACCUGCUGCUUGUUGUUGAGCUCCGUCGCGAGCACAGCCAAGGCCAACCCUUGUUUCUGUUGUUUUGUCAGGUUCGCUGAAGCUAUAGGUUCAGAUAGUGCUCUUCUAUUAAGUGUCCGUGAAUUCAGUGCAGGUCCUACUGUUUAGCCCAGCUCGCGGGCACGCAGGCGACCAGGGAUCAAAUCCACACUCGCACAACCCUUUUACACCAAUUUUUGCUUCACCCAGAUCAAGCUUUGCUCUUGUUUCAUAUUCUGUCAAGUCAUUCUUCUGCACAAACAAAUCAGCAGCCAAAUGGUUGUUCAGCCACACACAUAUCCCGAUUUUUUUAUAAAUAAUAAUUAAUAAUCACAUAAUUACGAAACUGAGAAAGGAUUGGUCUAAAUCUGAAAAAUAGGAAGGACGCUGUUUUCCUCAGCGUCCAGGUCUGGACGUUACGCACAGCGUUCUGGCCUGGACGCUACUGUCAACAUCGUCCCUGUAUCUGGUUCGAUUCGCUGCUAUGAAAAAGAUUAAACUGAAUCGUUCUCCUCAAACAGACGGAAGAUUUGUCGCUUGUAAACCCUAGAACGCAUGGAAUCACCGCUCGUCAACCUCGCCAUGUCCUAACCAGCCCCAGAACUCGACGUCUCUGAUCACGGUACCCCUAUCUCUCUUCUAUCGAAACCCAUGGUGCAAGAUGGGCAUAGAGAAUUUUGAUGUGUGGCUUGGGCAUUUGGACCUUGUAUUGAAGCCGUUCCUCACAUUCGACCUGUAAUAAGUGUCGAUGCUUCAUUUCUAUCGGGAAGGUACAAGGGAAGGUUGCUAAUGGCUUGUGGAUAUGACGCUAAUAACCAACUAAUACCUCUUGUUUUUGCCAUUGUGGAGAAAGAGGAUGCAUCAAAUUGGGGCUAGUUCAUGAGAUGGCUUCGGAGGGAGGUAAUUGGUGUUGGAAAGUUCGUGUGUGUCAUUUCAGAUCGCCACAAAGCAAUCAAAUGGGUGUUUAAGCAGCCACACAUUGGUUGGAACGAGGAUGCUGGUGAGUGUGUUCAUCGAUUUUGUUCCCAACAUGUCGCAGAGAACCUAUACAAAUCUUAUCGGGAUGAUAACAUUUUGAAAAUAUUCAAGUGGGCAGUCAAGAAAAAGAAACCUCGUAGGUUUGAGGAGGGCAUGUCAUCUAUUGCACAUACUUGUCCCGAUGCAAUAACAUAUCUUAGAAAGGUCGGUAAGUAUUUGCAGGAAGACAAAAAUGAGAAAGAACAACCUGAAAAAGUAUUUCAAUGCAUGGAUGGGGGUUACCGUUGGGGGAUCAUGACCAGCAAUGGGUCCGAGUCCUUAAACAAUGUGUUUAGGCUUUCCCGAAGGCUCCCAGUGGCAGCGAUUGUGGAGGAAACAUUUUCAAAGUGUUUGGAGUGGUUUGUGGAAAGAAGGCGAAGUGCUCUUAACUUGGUUGAUGAUGGAAAGCAAUGGUCCGAACGGGUGGACAAACUUUUGGUGAAAAGGGGUGACAAGGCAGGACAUAUGCAUGUUAUUUCAUAUGGCGAUGAAGUUGGAAUAUUUGAGGUCAAGGUUGAUCACGAGAGGGUUCCAUUACGCCAUGGGGAUCAUGUUGUUUUUAUUCAUAAAGGCUUCAAGUACAAGGUCAUUUUGCGACCAAAUAAUGCUCCAUCUUGCGAAUGCCUAAAGCCGAACCUAACUCGUGUGCCAUGUGCUCAUGCUUGCUGUUUGCAAGUAUCGGAAUCUGAAUGAAAAUGAAAUAGUACACUCGUAUUACUCUUCUCAAAUGCUUGCAAACACUUGGGCUGGGCAAUUUCAUCCAUAUGGUAACCAAAAUGAGUGGCCAACAUAUAAUGGACCUACUAUUGUUCCCGAUGAGAAGUUAGUAAACCGUGGGCGUCAUCAGCACAAAAGGAUCCCGAUGUACAUGGAUGAAAUGCAAGGAAGGCGAAUGGGGCACCAGGCCCGACGUUCCACAAGAGACAAUAAUCAAAUAGGCACAUCAUCUAGUCAAGGACAGAUCUCAUCGUCGAGUCGAGGAAAGAGGUUGAGUCAAGGGAAGAGCACAUCAUCCAUAGGAAAGAGGUCGAGUCAAGGGAAGAGCAUAGCAUCUAAAGGGAGGAGAUCAAAUAAAGAGAAGACCACAUCAUCUAGUCGAAAUUCUGACACUAGGAGUACCAUCUGAUGACUAGUAUUCUGGGAAAUUUUCAUUAAAUUUGGAUUCAAACAUCGACAGAGUCGUCCAUUGUUCGUUCAGCCAAAAAUUGGCCAAAAUUUUGAACCAAAAAUAAAAGUGUCCAGAAAUUGUUGACCUUUUCACA